This 453-nucleotide ribosomal RNA is filed under the name Triticum aestivum (bread wheat). Its description in RNAcentral is "partial small subunit ribosomal RNA". The record is from RNAcentral. Lineage: Eukaryota; Viridiplantae; Streptophyta; Magnoliopsida; Poales; Poaceae.
AUGGAGGUGGUGGUGAGUGCCUCCGCGGGGAUGCUGGAGGCCCUCCUCCCCAAGCUGGCCAAGAUGCUCACCGACGAAUACAAGUUGCACAAGGGCGCCAAGGAAGGGGUCCAGUACAUCCGGGAUGAGCUGGAGAGCAUGGAAGCUGCCCUUGCGAAGGUGGCCGAGGUGCCACCAGAUCUGCUUGACAAGCAGGUCAAGCUGUGGGCAACCAAGGUGAGAAAGAUGUCCUACAACAUCGAGGACACCAUCGAUUCCUUCAUGGUGCUCGUCGAUGCUGCUGCUGGCGGCCAGUCCGGUUCUGGAUCCUCCACGACGUGCUGCUGCGUGGGGGCCAAAUCCUUGCUGCCACGGACGUACAAGGCUCGGGGCGACAUCGCCGCCGAGAUCGAGCGCAUAAAGGAGGUUGAGGAGGUGAGCAAGCGUCGUGAGAGGUACAACGUACAAAGUUGA